GACGAACGCUGGCGGCGUGCCUAAUACAUGCAAGUUGAGCGCUGAAGGUUGGUACUUGUACCAACUGGAUGAGCAGCGAACGGGUGAGUAACGCGUGGGGAAUCUGCCUUUGAGCGGGGGACAACAUUUGGAAACGAAUGCUAAUACCGCAUAAAAACUUUAAACACAAGUUUUAAGUUUGAAAGAUGCAAUUGCAUCACUCAAAGAUGAUCCCGCGUUGUAUUAGCUAGUUGGUGAGGUAAAGGCUCACCAAGGCGAUGAUACAUAGCCGACCUGAGAGGGUGAUCGGCCACAUUGGGACUGAGACACGGCCCAAACGCCUACGGGAGGCAGCAGUAGGGAAUCGUCGGCAAUGGACGAAAGUCUGACCGAGCAGCGCCGAGUGAGUGAAGAAGGUUGUCGGAUCGUAAAACUCGGUUGGUAGAGAAGAACGUUGGUGAGAGUGGAAAGCUCAUCAAGUGACGGUAACUACACAGAAAGGGACGGCUAACUACGUG
This 497-nucleotide ribosomal RNA is filed under the name uncultured bacterium. Its description in RNAcentral is "partial 16S ribosomal RNA". It matches the Rfam family "Bacterial small subunit ribosomal RNA", at positions 28 to 507 of the family's 1533-position model. The record is from RNAcentral.